AUUGAACGCUGGCGGCAGGCCUAACACAUGCAAGUCGAGCGAGCGGCGGACGGGUGAGUAAUGUAUGGGGACUGCCCGAUAGAGGGGGAUAACUACUGGAAACGGUGGCUAAUACCGCAUACUAUCGGAUAACCCAUAUGGGAUUAGCUAGUAGGUGGGGUAAAGGCUCACCUAGGCGACGAUCUCUAGCUGGUCUGAGAGGAUGAUAAGCCACACUAGGACUGAGACACGGCCCCAGCUCCUACGGAGGCAGCAGUUGGGAAUAAUGCACAAUGUGCGCAAGCCUGAUGCAGCCAUGCCACAUGUAUGAAGAAGGCCUUAGGGAUGUAAAGUACUUUCAGCGGGGAGGCGUUACCCGCAGAAGAAGCACCGGCUAACUCCGUACCAGCAGCCGCAGUAAUAC
RNAcentral lists this ribosomal RNA (403 nucleotides) under uncultured bacterium. RNAcentral's name for it is "partial 16S ribosomal RNA". It matches the Rfam family "Bacterial small subunit ribosomal RNA", at positions 30 to 526 of the family's 1533-position model. The record is from RNAcentral.